ACAAUGUCCACAAGAACCCAGGUUAUUUUCACCAGUGUCUGAUUUAUGCCCAGACCCACUUCUUUACAAAAGUGAAAUGGUUGCUGGAAUCCUGGGGCAAUGUUGUUUUUGUACCUUUCAAACAAAAAGAGCUUUUCUUUCUCCAACGAUUGAACUAACACGGUGGGUUUCACAGUCUCAGAAGUUUCCACUACUCCCAUUCCUCAUCAUCAUUUUGGUGAGAGGAACAUCCUCUCUGGUUGCUGAGGCCUCGUCUAGGGGUCCAUCCUUGCACACUCUCUGAGGUCAGGUUUGUUGGUCAAACAUCCCAAGCCAGACCAUUCCCACCUGAACGGCGUACCUGAGGGAGGAGGUUUGGGAAACAGACGGCACGCCAUGUACAGAUAUCGACAGUUGUCUGUAAUCACGAUCAUAGCAAGCAAGGUUUCAAAACAAAGUGCUGUUGUGCAAGUGCCCAGGAGCCUUAUAAACAGAGGUUCCUCCCACCCGCAGCAGCCUCGCUGGGUCCCAGGCUCUGAGCAGCUCCCCCAUCUUCUCCUGCCGCCCAGGGUCCAGCCGGCAUUCACCAUGAGGGGCCUCUGCUUCGUGCUCCUGACCUGCUUCAUCCUCUUUGCUCACUUUACCACAGCCCAGGUCCUGUCUCUAGACACGGGAGAGAACUGCAAGCGUGUUGGUGGUGAAUGUAAAUUUUUUUCUUGCCCAGGAGAUCAUGAAACUAUCGGUUCCUGUUGGAUCUUUGGAAUAGGGCAAUGGCUAGCUGUGGCUAGCUGAAAGACACGGGAGCACAAGCAGCCUGAGAAUGAAAUAAAGGGCCGACUUUAACUCUGAAAGUGCUCUCAUAUUAUUUCCUGAAAAUAAAGAAAUGACCCGUGCUGCA
Non-coding RNA from Equus caballus (horse), 877 nucleotides. The record is from RefSeq and is a predicted model, not a curated record. Lineage: Eukaryota; Metazoa; Chordata; Mammalia; Perissodactyla; Equidae.